UCGAAAUUAUUGGUGAGGGUUGUAGCUGGCCUUUCGAGGCAUGUGCACGCUCGAGCCCUUAAUCCACUUUACACCUGUGCACUUAAUGUAGGUCGCCCUUAAAAAAGGUGACCUAUGUCUUAUCAUCAACCCAUCGUAUGUCUCAUAGAAUGUAAAUCAAUAUCCUCGCCUUAAAAAAGCGUUGAUAAACUUUAUA
Molecule: unclassified non-coding RNA, 196 nt
Filed under: uncultured Piloderma
Lineage: Eukaryota; Fungi; Basidiomycota; Agaricomycetes; Atheliales; Atheliaceae
Description: sequence contains ITS1
Source: RNAcentral